ACUUAAAACUCAAAGGACUUGACGGUGUCCCAAACCAACCUAGAGGAGCCUGUCCUAUAAUCGAUAAUCCACGUUCCACCCCACCCCCCCUUGAAAUCAGCCUGUAUACCGCCGUCUUCCAGUUCACCUUAUGACAGACCAAAAGCGAACACAACAGCUCACCACUAAGACGUCAGGUCAAGGUGCAGCCAAUGAGGGGGUAGCGAUGGGCUACAUUUUCUACCACAACAGAACACCACCAGCCACCACAUGAAAUAUGGGUUACAAGGCGGAUUUAGCAGUAAGCCAGACA
This 292-nucleotide ribosomal RNA is filed under the name Tarentola sp. CR-2012. Its description in RNAcentral is "partial 12S ribosomal RNA". The record is from RNAcentral. Lineage: Eukaryota; Metazoa; Chordata; Lepidosauria; Squamata; Phyllodactylidae.